Molecule: non-coding RNA, 88 nt
Organism: Paramuricea clavata
Lineage: Eukaryota; Metazoa; Cnidaria; Anthozoa; Malacalcyonacea; Plexauridae
Source: the annotation of a GenBank genome assembly
UUAAUACUUUUUGUUUGUGGAAACACCACGUAAAUUUAUUACUGCAGUAAUAAAUUUACGCGGUGUUUCCACAAACAAAAAGUAUUAU